Molecule: ribosomal RNA, 391 nt
Filed under: uncultured bacterium
Lineage: Bacteria
Description: bacterial SSU rRNA
Rfam family: Bacterial small subunit ribosomal RNA
Source: RNAcentral
AUUGAACGCUGGCGGCAUGCUUUACACAUGCAAGUCGAACGGCAGCACGGGAGCUUGCUCCUGGUGGCGAGUGGCGAACGGGUGAGUAAUGCAUCGGAACGUACCCAGUAGUGGGGGAUAGCCCGGCGAAAGCCGGAUUAAUACCGCAUAUUUCCUGAGGGAGAAAGCGGGGGGACCUUCGGGCCUCGCGCUACUGGAGCGGCUGAUGUCGGAUUAGCUAGUUGGUGAGGUAAAGGCUCACCAAGGCGACGAUCCGUAGCUGGUCUGAGAGGAUGAUCAGCCACACUGGGACUGAGACACGGCCCAGACUCCUACGGGAGGCAGCAGUGGGGAAUUUUGGACAAUGGGGGCAACCCUGAUCCAGCCAUGCCGCGUGAGUGAAGAAGGCCUC